GACGAACGCUGGCGGCGUGCCUAAUACAUGCAAGUCGAACGCUUCUUUCCUCCCGAGUGCUUGCACUCAAUUGGAAAGAGGAGUGGCGGACGGGUGAGUAACACGUGGGUAACCUACCCAUCAGAGGGGGAUAACACUUGGAAACAGGUGCUAAUACCGCAUAACAGUUUAUGCCGCAUGGCAUAAGAGUGAAAGGCGCUUUCGGGUGUCGCUGAUGGAUGGACCCGCGGUGCAUUAGCUAGUUGGUGAGGUAACGGCUCACCAAGGCGACGAUGCAUAGCCGACCUGAGAGGGUGAUCGGCCACACUGGGACUGAGACACGGCCCAGACUCCUACGGGAGGCAGCAGUAGGGAAUCUUCGGCAAUGGACGAAAGUCUGACCGAGCAACGCCGCGUGAGUGAAGAAGGUUUUCGGAUCGUAAAACUCUGUUGUUAGAGAAGAACAAGGACGUUAGUAACUGAACGUCCCCUGACGGUAUCUAAACAGAAAGCCACGGCUAACUACGUG
This 508-nucleotide ribosomal RNA is filed under the name uncultured bacterium. RNAcentral describes it as "partial 16S ribosomal RNA". It matches the Rfam family "Bacterial small subunit ribosomal RNA", at positions 28 to 507 of the family's 1533-position model. The record is from RNAcentral.